RNAcentral lists this long non-coding RNA (2318 nucleotides) under Gallus gallus (chicken). The record is from RNAcentral. Lineage: Eukaryota; Metazoa; Chordata; Aves; Galliformes; Phasianidae.
GUGUACUUUCUGUGGAAAAUCGUGUCAGAUGUGGGUAAAAAAAUUGCUUCCCUUAUACAUUUUGUCCUGCAGAAAAGUAGCCAUGGAUUAUAAUGGCAGAUACAACCUUAAACCUUCCUUCUCUUUGCCAAACCUUCUUGACAGUAAAAAAAAGGCCACAGAACUCCUUUUCUUUCUGAAGAAGUUUGUGAGUAGAACAGUUCUUAGAUUCCUUCAACCACUGUCCCCACUGAACGAGUCAGUACGCAGUUCUUCCUAUUGAAAGGCAACAAGAAUUUCAGAAAAGCAGCCAUUAAAGAUGCUAUUUGAUACUAAGCUAAUAUACACUUUCUUAGGUGUCUCCUCAACGCAGCUUCAGGCACUUUAUGCAUAUCCAUACCAUCAGCUGUAGAAAGCUAUUAGUAGUAGUUCAAGGUGGUUACGUGUGAAAAGAGACUGUUCUCAUCAACAUGGAUAUCAAAGAUAAGAAAGGGAAAAUGGUACAGCUCUUUUAACUGACAGUGGUAUUUUCAAAGGGUUACAUAAAGAAUAAGAUUCUCAAGCAGGCAGUUCACAAUUUGUUUAUUGUCAUACAUGAAGAUACUUUGUCACUGCUCUCUGCUGAAUUCUUGCUGUGAUAGUUUGAUCAGUUUCUACUGAAAUUAAAUGAACACAGCAAGAACUCAGGUUCUACUUAGGAGAUGCCCUCUUUUCACCGAGUCCCCCACAUUUUCAUUACAGAAGCAGCUCACUGAACGUGUGACAACUUAGAGAAGUACAAUGGCAUUAGUUUAAAUCUUUUUCAUAUGUUCUAUGUAAGUGAAAUCAUGAAAGAGAACAAACACCUCAUUCACUUACUGAGAGCUGAUUGCUGAAAUUCACUUAUAUUUUCCCCUCUUAAAACAUCAUCACUAUCUAUAACAGUGAGUAAACAUAAAGAGCAGUAUCUCAAAUAAAUGUAUGUGUGGUGACUGCCUGUCAAUAUGAAAGAACAGAGGAAGAAAAUAAUCUGAAAUUGGUUUGGAGAUCAGCACUAUGACUCUGUUUGGAGUUAGUCUUAGUCUACUAUUUGGAUUCUUUUGUUGAGGUGUGAGUUCUUUUGGAAAACAAAAAGCAAAGAUCUUACAAGCAAGCACUUUUGAGUAGUAGUGAUCAGUCUGAAGAGGAAAAGAAAUUAAAGAAGAAAAGAAAUUAAAGAAGAAAAAGAAAUCCAGCUUUCUGAUAUCUAAACCAAAAGAUUUUCUGGUUGCUCUUUGGCAUCAGGGCAGACUGGUCGGCAUGGCCAGUCAUUGUCUCAGAUGUUCUUCAGGAUUCUAAUUUGUAAGUAAAACAAAUGAAUAAAUGUGGAGGAGCACUUCAUUUAAAGAGUGACAGAGAAUGUGGUGGUACGGGCAUCUCAGAACAUAUUAAGAAAUUGGAAAAAUGAAUUUUGGAGGAUGAAAGGACAAUCCUGCUGUGCAAUGAAACAAAGCAGUAACAACAACUUUCCUUUCAGUAUUUCUAAGAUUUUUUUUUUAACCUCAAAUGAUGCAAAAUGCUUUGGUAAAAUGCAAGAGGCAUAGCAGACCACAGAAUUGAGCAAGAUUUUGCUAUCUGCAGUCUGCCACUGCAUUCUGAACACCAAGGUCUAAUUAGUUAUUUCAAAAGACCAGCGUGACUCUGAAAGCUUCACACAAUUUCUGUUCCUAAUUCUUUUUCAUUAGGGUGAUAACAAUGAUAUGUGAAGGAAUCCCUUGCUAUCCAAUCAGGUGGGAAAGCAUUAAAACAGUCAAAACUGCUGUGGAUAGCAAAUGUGUCAUAAAUUGUGUUUCAAAGCACAGAAUAGCCAGCCACUGAGCAGGGCUGGUUUGUUUACUGAAACACCACUGCCCUGAGUCAGACUGGUUUACAAAACAGGAAGAUGGCUUCUACACCCAGACCAUUCUGGUUGUACUUUGUCAAGGGUGGCAUUUAGCUACAGUGAACACAGACCAUUACUUUGGUCCUGAAGUCUCUGAAAUAUCAUCACUGAAGUCUCACUCUCUGCUAAUCCAUUCAGCAAAAGUAUUUUCUGUGCAUCUGCCAAACCAGUCAUCCAGUGCCCUGCAGCACUUCAGGCUUGUUUUGCAGGCUUACGUGCAGUCUGUGUAGGAAGGGUGGGAAUGUUUAUGGUGCCAGCAAAUCCUUGUGGCAUCCACUGUGAGUAACCUUGGAAACGGAAUGCUAUGGCUUGUGCUCCCUGAUGUCAUCGCUCCUAUUAAAAGUAAUAUUAAAUGUUUAGUCUGUUGAGAAAUUGUGAUUUUUAAUGUGUUGUCCAUCGGUUAAAAUUGACCUCAAUCUUUAUGUUCACAUUAGUAAAC